UCGGGAGUGACGCAUAUUGCGCAUCGGACGUCUCAACCCGACCGAUGCACACAUCCUUGAGUGCCU
Molecule: ribosomal RNA, 66 nt
Filed under: Anopheles splendidus
Lineage: Eukaryota; Metazoa; Arthropoda; Insecta; Diptera; Culicidae
Description: partial 5.8S ribosomal RNA
Source: RNAcentral